Molecule: long non-coding RNA, 246 nt
Organism: Danio aesculapii
Lineage: Eukaryota; Metazoa; Chordata; Actinopteri; Cypriniformes; Danionidae
Exons: 2
Source: RefSeq, a predicted model, not a curated record
AGUCACACAAAGCCGCUGAGAAACAGUGUGUGUUGACAACAACAAAAAACGCGUUUCGUCAAGAUGUUUGGCACCGUACGCCUUCCGUAGUAACAGGGGGACAAUAAAAGUAACAGGUUUGACUGAAUCUUUCUCUGUGUCUCAGAUGAGGAGGAUGUGAAGCUCAGGAUUGGUCAUCACAUCGUCUACACAUCAAUCUACAGACAAACAUCUCAUUUGAAUAAAGAUUUAAUGAUGAAAGCCUGA